GAUGAACGCUGGCGGCGUGCCUAAUACAUGCAAGUCGAGCGAACGGACGAGAAGCUUGCUUCUCUGAUGUUAGCGGCGGACGGGUGAGUAACACGUGGAUAACCUACCUAUAAGACUGGGAUAACUUCGGGAAACCGGAGCUAAUACCGGAUGAUAUUUUGAACCGCAUGGUUCAAAAGUGAAAGACGGUCUUGCUGUCACUUAUAGAUGGAUCCGCGCUGCAUUAGCUAGUUGGUAAGGUAAUGGCUUACCAAGGCAACGAUGCAUAGCCGACCUGAGAGGGUGAUCGGCCACACUGGAACUGAGACACGGUCCAGACUCCUACGGGAGGCAGCAGUAGGGAAUCUUCCGCAAUGGGCGAAAGCCUGACGGAGCAACGCCGCGUGAGUGAUGAAGGUCUUCGGAUCGUAAAACUUUGUUAUUAGGGAAGAACAUAUGUGUAAGUAACUGUGCACAUCUUGACGGUACCUAAUCAGAAAGCCACGGCUAACUACGUG
This 497-nucleotide ribosomal RNA is filed under the name uncultured bacterium. Its description in RNAcentral is "partial 16S ribosomal RNA". It matches the Rfam family "Bacterial small subunit ribosomal RNA", at positions 28 to 507 of the family's 1533-position model. The record is from RNAcentral.